This 73-nucleotide transfer RNA is filed under the name Bacteroidales bacterium. RNAcentral's name for it is "tRNA-Lys". It matches the Rfam family "tRNA". Rfam says of the family: Transfer RNA (tRNA) molecules are approximately 80 nucleotides in length. Their secondary structure includes four short double-helical elements and three loops (D, anti-codon, and T loops). Lineage: Bacteria; Pseudomonadati; Bacteroidota; Bacteroidia; Bacteroidales. The record is from RNAcentral. RNAcentral also lists the same sequence under 3 other names.
GCACCCUUAGCUCAGUUGGUAGAGCAACUGACUCUUAAUCAGUGGGUCCAGAGUUCGAGCCUCUGAGGGUGUA